GUAGGUGGGAUCAAGUGUCGAGAUGGGUUUUUCAAAGUGACGUCGAUUGGUCUGUCAGAUGGCUUAGUGACGUCAAUAGAAAAGCAUGGUCAUCAUAUUCAGAUUAGGUUCAAAAUGAGAUGCAGACGUUGGACUGGAGAUUUGGAAAAGAGGGACUUAAACACUUGAUUUGAUGUAGCCAACGUUAAGUAACUAUUCGUUGUUGAGCCUUUUAUAACACUACCAAGAUAGAAAACCUCCUUCAAUUGGAUGAUGGCCUCCUCCUGCAUGACACCUGUGCUACAUGCUGCUUCCUUUGACACCUGAGCUUCCUCUCUGCUCCUGAGGACUACUCCUUCCGCCUCCUGUCACCUAACAGACCACCUCCUGUAUGCUUGUGAGGAAGCCUCCUGCCACCUCUGUCACCUGGUAAACCACUUCCUGCAGACCACCUGAACUAAAUUCAGCAUCAGCUGCUUCCUCUGCUGGGUCUACGCUCUCUUGUUCUGUCUUUCUCGCCUAAAACUCCUACAUCUGCUUCCCUGUCCUCCUUCAAAAAUAGACCAUUCAAGACUUUAAACCUGUGAUAUAAAACAAUAACGAUGCAUCUUUAAUUGCUAUGAACUUUGUGGUUGGCUUACUUUUUCCACUACGCCGUGCAUUUGUUGCAGAUUGAGGGGGUGGAUUCAUGUAAUGUCUUCUGGUAGGUACUGCCUCAGAGGACAGUGUCUUCCGUGAACCCUGUUGAAAGACAUUUUUUACCAGAAAAUAUCAUGACUGAUUAUUAUUUAUUUUAGACAAAGAUAAUAAUCAGAAUAUAACUCUUCAAAGUGCUCCUCGCACACAGCGUAACCCCCUUUCUUCAGGUCCUCAAAAGGACUUCUGCAGACUGAUAUCCCUACGCCUGAUGUUUCUCAGCCACAUCUUCCUCCUGAGUAAUUACAAAAGUGUGUAAGGUUUAAUCUCACAUUUUAUUGAAUUCAGAUGGAUGUUGGUCUAUGCUUAAGGUCUCCUGUUUUAUAGUUCAUUUAGUACUGUAGUGGUUGCAGAUAACCAUAAACUAUUAUGUCCUCUACCUCCGUUAUUGACCUUGAUUUUAGAUUUUCUUUUAAAUAGUACUCUACAGUUAAUUUCGGCAGCCAUGUUGUUUUUUCUCUCUGUAUGUGUAAGAGGAGCGUGACGUAGACUCCAGAAGUAAGCAGAAAGGCAGCCUUUCUUGCUACUCCUGUGACCAGUACCCAAAUGAGGACCUGACAUUUUUACGGAUCGUGUCCUGCUAUAGUUAGUAGUGUAUAUGGACUCACCCCUGUAGUCUGCAGACUUCUGGGUUCUACGUCACACCUCUCUUCAAUCAAAACUGACACUCCUCUGUAAGACACCACCUUAAAAACCAUCGCCUGAUUAGCAACACCCCCAAUAACGGAGAACAUAUUAUAAAAUAAAGACCCACACUUUAUCCUGUCCUAUGAAACAUUAGAAUAAAUACCCACACUUUAUUCUAUGAAACAUUUUCAGUUGCUGCCCUCUGAAACCUGAUUGAUCUUUGGAAGCUCUGCUCUAAUACUACACAUGGUGUAUGUCUUUAUGCUUGGACCAUUUUCCUAUUCAUUGGAUGCAUGCACAAUGUGUUCUUCCAGGUUGUGAUCAAAUGCUCUACUUUCAUGGUGUCUAUAUGUUCUAUAUUUUUCACCAUUUUAAAAGGCAUUUAAUAAAUGUACAGUGUCUUGCAAAAGUA
Salvelinus fontinalis (brook trout) is the source of this 1714-nucleotide long non-coding RNA. RefSeq lists it as uncharacterized. The record is from RefSeq and is a predicted model, not a curated record. The transcript is spliced from 2 exons. NCBI's taxonomy places the organism in Eukaryota, Metazoa, Chordata, Actinopteri, Salmoniformes, Salmonidae.